Molecule: ribosomal RNA, 432 nt
Filed under: uncultured bacterium
Lineage: Bacteria
Description: partial 16S ribosomal RNA
Rfam family: Bacterial small subunit ribosomal RNA
Source: RNAcentral
AGCGAACGCUGGCGGCAGGCCUAACACAUGCAAGUCGAACGGAUCCUUCGGGAUUAGUGGCGGACGGGUGAGUAACACGUGGGAACGUGCCCUUUGGUUCGGAACAACUCAGGGAAACUUGAGCUAAUACCGGAUGUGCCCUUCGGGGGAAAGAUUUAUCGCCAUUGGAGCGGCCCGCGUCUGAUUAGCUAGUUGGUGAGGUAACGGCCCACCAAGGCGACGAUCAGUAGCUGGUCUGAGAGGAUGAUCAGCCACACUGGGACUGAGACACGGCCCAGACUCCUACGGGAGGCAGCAGUGGGGAAUCUGCGCAAUGGGCGAAAGCCUGACGCAGCCAUGCCGCGUGAAUGAUGAAGGUCUUAGGAUUGUAAAAUUCUUUCAGCGGGGACGAUAAUGACGGUACCCGCAGAAGAAGCUCCGGCUAACUUCGUG